GCAGGUAAAGUGUUGAUGGCGGCAUACGGUACUUCCGAUUCUGUGGGUGGGGUUCAAAUCCCCAUACCUGCU
Molecule: transfer RNA, 72 nt
Filed under: Escherichia coli
Lineage: Bacteria; Pseudomonadati; Pseudomonadota; Gammaproteobacteria; Enterobacterales; Enterobacteriaceae
Also listed under: 1 other name
Description: tRNA-Gly(tcc)
Rfam family: tRNA
About the family: Transfer RNA (tRNA) molecules are approximately 80 nucleotides in length. Their secondary structure includes four short double-helical elements and three loops (D, anti-codon, and T loops).
Source: RNAcentral